AACUUUUGACAACGGAUCACUAGGCUCUCGCAUCGAUGAAGAACGCAGCGAAAUGCGAUAAGUAAUGUGAAUUGCAGAAUUCAGUGAAUCAUCGAAUCUUUGAACGCACCUUGCACCCUUUGGAAUUCCGAAGGGUAUGCUCGUUUGAGUGUCAUUGUACUCUCACACUCUCUGAUCCUUUGGAUUCGGGGAGCGGUGGACUUGGGUGUUUGCUGCUUUUCCUUGUGGCUCACCUCAAAUUCGUUAGUGCACCUCCUGGUUGGACAUAGUACGGCGUGAUAAGUGUCUUCGCCGGCGCCUCGCAAGAGGGUGGCCGAUCGAGAGCUCUGUGCUUUCAAACCGUCUUCGGACAACAUCUGACAACUUGACCUCAAAUCGAGUAGGACUACCCGCUGAACUUAAGCAUAUCAAUAAGCGGAGGCU
This 423-nucleotide unclassified non-coding RNA is filed under the name uncultured Sebacinaceae. Its description in RNAcentral is "sequence contains ITS2". The stretch from base 1 to 154 matches the Rfam family "5.8S ribosomal RNA". The record is from RNAcentral. Lineage: Eukaryota; Fungi; Basidiomycota; Agaricomycetes; Sebacinales; Sebacinaceae.